Molecule: ribosomal RNA, 450 nt
Filed under: uncultured bacterium
Lineage: Bacteria
Description: partial 16S ribosomal RNA
Rfam family: Bacterial small subunit ribosomal RNA
Source: RNAcentral
GUGGGGAAUUUUGGACAAUGGGCGCAAGCCUGAUCCAGCAAUGCCGCGUGCAGGAAGAAGGCCUUCGUGUUGUAAACUGCUUUUGUACGGAACGAAAAGGCUCUGGUUAAUACCUGGGGCUCAUGACGGUACCGUAAGAAUAAGCACCGGCUAACUACGUGCCAGCAGCCGCGGUAAUACGUAGGGUGCAAGCGUUAAUCGGAAUUACUGGGCGUAAAGCGUGCGCAGGCGGUUUUGUAAGACAGACGUGAAAUCCCCGGGCUCAACCUGGGAAUGGCGUUUGUGACUGCAAAGCUGGAGUGCGGCAGAGGGGGAUGGAAUUCCGCGUGUAGCAGUGAAAUGCGUAGAUAUGCGGAGGAACACCGAUGGCGAAGGCAAUCCCCUGGGCCUGCACUGACGCUCAUGCACGAAAGCGUGGGGAGCAAACAGGAUUAGAAACCCGAGUAGUCC